GGUCCUCUAAAGCCUAAAUAUAAGAUUACAUGGUACAUCUCUGGAUCAUACUCUUAAUCAAGGAAUAUGCAUUAUGGAGUAUCUUAACUGGCGAUGGAAGCUUGCCCAACUCAGGUAACCAUUGCAGAAAGCUCAGCUUAUGUAACUGUGAUAAAUAUUUGUUCUUCAUGACUUUAACGUAGCAUUGUGAACAUUGCCCCACUAAAAGGAAUGAGAUUCCAGGUCCAAUGGAACUGAGUAUUCUCAGUUAACCACAACCUAAGAUUGCCCUUAGUCUCUACGCUCUAGAAACUCCUCCAGUCAACUAUGAGUCCAUUGGAAGGGUGCUCUAGGACCUUCUACCGAGACUGAGAAGUCGAUUCAUAGUGUAACAUCUGCAGUUCAAGUAUUGACCAAGGCAAAAAACGCAUCCUAGAGGUGGUGACACGGAGUCUCAACUAAGUGGAAACCACUCAGAGGCGAUUGUUACUCGUAGACAUAGUCAUAGAGUCGCACUUAUAUCUCUGCUCUAUAAAAAAUAGAAAUUAUAAGUAUAAUAGCGUGGUUUUUGAAAUCUUUUAGGUUGUGCUUGACUGGAUUGAGUCAUGGGAAGCUCACAUUCUUCGAAGUGUCAAAUGACCUAGACACAGAAUCUUUAUGUGAUGCAAAUCUAGUAUGGAGUGAAUAUACUCUAAGCAUAAAACUGGGCCACCAAAGAAUUCAUUUGAGUUACUCUCAGAGCUGCACUCUCUGAGAGAGUUUUCUACAGACUAUAGAUCCCUAGACUGAUUUACCUUUUGGUUGAACUUGAUAGACCGUUAAUUGAAAAUCACACGGAAGGUUGAAAUAAUUGAGAAUACGAUGAGAACACUCGAUUUCUGCAUUUAUGCCCAAAAUUUAAAUUUUAAAUAAUUUAAACUUGUCCUAACUCACUAAUAAACACACAAAUUGAUCGAAAGACUAAUCUUUUUUAAGAUUGAUCGAAAGAUUAAUCUUUGUUGAUCAGAUCCAAGAUUACUAAAAAAAUGAGUCAAUCCUCACGUUUCCAACUUAAACGCCCAAACCUAUGUUUAUCUUAGGUUUGAAAUAC
RNAcentral lists this long non-coding RNA (1069 nucleotides) under Amborella trichopoda. RNAcentral's name for it is "long non-coding RNA (ATRI_LNC004853)". Lineage: Eukaryota; Viridiplantae; Streptophyta; Magnoliopsida; Amborellales; Amborellaceae. The record is from RNAcentral.